ACGGAAGGCAGCAGUGGGGAAUAUUGCACAAUGGGCGAAAGCCUGAUGCAGCGACGCCGCGUGAGUGAAGAAGUAUCUCGGUAUGUAAAGCUCUAUCAGCAGGGAAGAAAAUGACGGUACCUGACUAAGAAGCCCCGGCUAACUACGUGCCAGCAGCCGCGGUAAUACGUAGGGGGCAAGCGUUAUCCGGAUUUACUGGGUGUAAAGGGAGCGUAGACGGUUUGGCAAGUCUGAAGUGAAAUGCGGGGGCUCAACUCCUGAUCUGCUUUGGAAACUGUCGAACUAGAGUGCAGGAGAGGUAAGUGGAAUUCCUAGUGUAGCGGUGAAAUGCGUAGAUAUUAGGAGGAACACCAGUGGCGAAGGCGGCUUACUGGACUGUAACUGACGUUGAGGCUCGAAAGCGUGGGGAGCAAACAGGAUUAGAUACCCUGGUA
RNAcentral lists this ribosomal RNA (434 nucleotides) under uncultured Clostridium sp. Its description in RNAcentral is "partial 16S ribosomal RNA". It matches the Rfam family "Bacterial small subunit ribosomal RNA", at positions 341 to 792 of the family's 1533-position model. Lineage: Bacteria; Bacillati; Bacillota; Clostridia; Eubacteriales; Clostridiaceae. The record is from RNAcentral.